CCAUGAGUAACCCCAUAAAAAUAUGGAAAAUAUUAUGCUAGGACUAGUAACAAGAAUGUAAAAUUCUCCAAAAUGCGCGCAUAAGCCGGAACGGACCCUCCCCCGGCAAUUAACGAAAAUGGCCCCACUACAGUAACAUAACAAGAAAACCCUGUACCUCCCCCCGUUAACCUAACACUAGAGCAUUUCCGGAAAGAUUAACAGAGAGAGAAGGAACUCGGCAAAUCUCUACCCCGCCUGUUUACCAAAAACAUCGCCUCUUGCCCUAACAUAAGAGGUCCAGCCUGCCCAGUGAUAAAAUUCAACGGCCGCGGUACCCUAACCGUGCAAAGGUAGCAUAAUCACUUGUUCCUUAAAUAGGGACUCGUAUCAACGGCAUAACGAGGGUCGCACUGUCUCCUCUUUCCAAUCAGUGAAACUGAUCCCCCCGUGAAAAAGCGGGGAUAAAAUUAUAAGACGAGAAGACCCCAUGGAGCUUCAAACCCACAACAACUCAAUUAUAACUUCCCCAUAGAACACUGAGAUAUGUAUGCAGGUUUUGGGUUGGGGUGACCACGGAGCAAAAACUAACCUCCAUGACGUAAAGAACUAAAUCUUUAUCCCAGAGCCACAUCUCCAAGAAUUAGCACACUAACGAAAUGACCCGACUAGAUCAACGAACCAAGUUACCCUGGGGAUAACAGCGCAAUCUACUUAAAGAGCCCCUAUCGACAAGUAGGCUUACGACCUCGAUGUUGGAUCAGGGUAUCCGGCGG
RNAcentral lists this ribosomal RNA (755 nucleotides) under Theloderma truongsonense. RNAcentral's name for it is "partial 16S ribosomal RNA". It matches the Rfam family "Bacterial large subunit ribosomal RNA", at positions 1647 to 2552 of the family's 2925-position model. The record is from RNAcentral. Lineage: Eukaryota; Metazoa; Chordata; Amphibia; Anura; Rhacophoridae.